AACCAUUCUCACCUGCGGCUAGACCUGCGGAAGGAUCAUUAACAAGAAUACCCAUUUCUUAUAAACCACUCUACUCGUUCGUUUUGGCCUCUCUCGGGGGGUCGGAGCGGAUGGUGAACUAUGAAGGCUUUCUUCCGGCGCUUCGGCGUUGGCCCUGUCUAAGAUGGAUAGAUGCUAUCAGGGAGCGGGAAGUCGGCUGGCAGUGCUGUUUCAGGUGCUCUGUCGGCUAAAUUAGCAUUU
RNAcentral lists this unclassified non-coding RNA (240 nucleotides) under soil metagenome. RNAcentral describes it as "partial contains 5.8S ribosomal RNA, internal transcribed spacer 2, and large subunit ribosomal RNA". The record is from RNAcentral.